AUAAGCAAGUUAACGGUUGGUUGCGAGAUGCCGUUGAGUUCUUUUGGCAGGUGCUUCGCACUUGAAAAAACACAACUCGUUGAUGAUUAAUCACCGUUCCACCGCUAUAACGUAUUCUUCACGCACUUUAUUGGGGGUGACGUAUUUGAACUGGGAAAUUGUGUGUUCCCAUAUUGGAACGCGUGAUCAAAUAGGCCUUGUUUAGUUUCUGGUCGGACUGCGCAUUCGACCAUGAAGCGCUGCAACAGCUGGGUUGUACACGAGUUCGAAAAUAGUUGCACGGUUAGUUUGCACAUGAGUGUGAGCCUGUGUUUGUCCAGCUAGAAUAUUCGUUCAAAUGAAACCUUGAUUAUGUUAUUGCAGCUUUACAUGGAUUAUACUAGGAGACGCUAAAUUGUACGUCAAGGAUUAGUCUCAUAUGUUCGUGACUGGUACGAUUUCAUUGAUCUAAUUUGAGAUUUGCGUUGUAUGCGAUUUUCUACAUUUUAUUUCUUAGAUGACUGUUUUUUACCCUCAUUUGAACAACUCGCAUUUCGCCAGCGACAAUUUUAACCACAAGAUGGCCCUGUCACCCAAUUGUCGCCGUAUCCAAUGGAAGCAACACGACAGUCGAUUACAUUGCACCGAAAAAACGCCGAAAGACCUAAUCGCCAAUCGCUUGGCAAUUUUGUUAAUACGAAAUUUUUCUAAAAGAACAAAGAAGGGAAUGGGCGCAAAAAAAUCCAUGAUGGCCGACCAUUUGCUUACCAGUCCUCCUUUUCUUAACAAAUGUUUGUCAGUCGCCAUGGAGAUGGAGUGUGGUCGAGUUCUGCUGAUUGAAUUGUGUCGGACUUUAUAUUCCUGUCAUUUUCCAUGAACGGUAAUCACCUGCUUUCCUGUUGAAAUUGACUAGAUUAUUAGAAGCCAGUUGAAGAGCAAAGCAGGGAAGAGUACAUGCUCGUACGUCUUCUCAACUGUCCAACCGUGUCAUAAAAUAUUGGCAAACUUAUCUCUGCGAUCAAUGAAACGGAAAGUAUUUGAUAAGUUUCAUAUUGAUAUUUUUGUACCCUAACUAAAAAUUUAAUAAUGAUAACUAUUGUAAUGGAGCCUUGCUUUCUACUUUUUGU
This is a long non-coding RNA of Daphnia pulex (common water flea), 1106 nucleotides long. RefSeq lists it as uncharacterized. The record is from RefSeq and is a predicted model, not a curated record. NCBI's taxonomy places the organism in Eukaryota, Metazoa, Arthropoda, Branchiopoda, Diplostraca, Daphniidae. The transcript has 4 exons.